AACGAACGCUGGCGGCAGGCUUAACACAUGCCAGUCGAACGCCCCGCCAGGGGAGUGGCCGACGGGUGAGUAACGCGUGGGAACAUACCCUUUCCUGCGGAAUAGCUCCGGGAAACUGGAAUUAAUACCGCAUACGCCCUACGGGGGAAAGAUUUAUCGGGGAAGGAUUGGCCCGCGUUGGAUUAGCUAGUUGGUGGGGUAAAGGCCUACCAAGGCGACGAUCCAUAGCUGGUCUGAGAGGAUGAUCAGCCACAUUGGGACUGAGACACGGCCCAAACUCCUACGGGAGGCAGCAGUGGGGAAUAUUGGACAAUGGGCGCAAGCCUGAUCCAGCCAUGCCGCGUGAGUGAUGAAGGCCUUAGGGUUGUAAAGCUCUUUCACCGAUGAAGAUAAUGACGGUAGUCGGAGAAGAAGCCCCGGCUAACUUCGUG
RNAcentral lists this ribosomal RNA (431 nucleotides) under uncultured bacterium. RNAcentral describes it as "partial 16S ribosomal RNA". It matches the Rfam family "Bacterial small subunit ribosomal RNA", at positions 29 to 507 of the family's 1533-position model. The record is from RNAcentral.